GUUACCUUGCUGAUGGUGUCCCGUAUGGCCAGUAUGUUCUCUACUGGGUUAGGACAGGUUAAGGGUUGUUACCUUGCUGAUGGUGUCCCGUAUGGCCAGUAUAUUCUCUACUGGGUUAGGACAGGUUAAGGGUUGUUACCUUGCUGAUGGUGUCCCGUAUGGCCAGUAUAUUCUCUACUGGGUUAGGACAGGUUAAGGGGUGUUACCUUGCUGAUGGUGUCCCGUAUGGCCAGUAUAUUCUCUACUGGGUUAGGACAGGUUAAGGGGUGUUACCUUGC
Molecule: long non-coding RNA, 278 nt
Organism: Oncorhynchus keta (chum salmon)
Lineage: Eukaryota; Metazoa; Chordata; Actinopteri; Salmoniformes; Salmonidae
Exons: 3
Source: RefSeq, a predicted model, not a curated record